This 253-nucleotide ribosomal RNA is filed under the name uncultured bacterium. RNAcentral describes it as "partial 16S ribosomal RNA". It matches the Rfam family "Bacterial small subunit ribosomal RNA", at positions 524 to 776 of the family's 1533-position model. The record is from RNAcentral.
UACAGGGGGGGCAAGCGUUGUUCGGAAUUACUGGGCGUAAAGGGCUCGUAGGCGGCCAACUAAGUCACACGUGAAAUCCCCAGGCUUAACCUGGGAACUGCGUGUGAUACUGGAUGGCUUGAAUUCGGGAGAGGGAUGCAGAAUUCCAGGUGUAGCGGUGAAAUGCGUAGAUAUCUGGAGGAAUACCGGUGGCGAAGGCGGCAUCCUGGACCGACAUUGACGCUGAUGAGCGAAAGCGUGGGGAGCGAACAGG